UACGUAGGUGGCAAGCGUUGUCCGGAUUUAUUGGGUUUAAAGGGUGCGUAGGCGGUCUAUUAAGUCAGUGCUGAAAUAUCCCGGCUUAACCGGGAGGGUGGCAUUGAUACUGAUGGACUUGAGUGCAGUCGAGGUAGGCGGAAUUGACGGUGUAGCGGUGAAAUGCUUAGAUAUCGUCAAGAACACCGAUAGUGAAGACAGCUUACUAGACUGUAACUGACGCUGAGGCACGAAAGUGUGGGGAUCAAACAGGAUUAGAACCCCGGUAGUCC
Molecule: ribosomal RNA, 272 nt
Filed under: uncultured prokaryote
Description: partial 16S ribosomal RNA
Rfam family: Bacterial small subunit ribosomal RNA
Source: RNAcentral